RNAcentral lists this ribosomal RNA (619 nucleotides) under Collybiopsis cimrmanii. Its description in RNAcentral is "partial large subunit ribosomal RNA". It matches the Rfam family "Eukaryotic large subunit ribosomal RNA", at positions 52 to 654 of the family's 3401-position model. Lineage: Eukaryota; Fungi; Basidiomycota; Agaricomycetes; Agaricales; Omphalotaceae. The record is from RNAcentral.
GGAGGAAAAGAAACUAACAAGGAUUCCCCUAGUAACUGCGAGUGAAGAGGGAAAAGCUCAAAUUUAAAAUCUGGCAGUCUCUGAUUGUCCGAGUUGUAAUUUAGAGAAGUGUUACCCGUCGUUAGUCUGUGUACAAGUCUCCUGGAAUGGAGCGUCAUAGAGGGUGAGAAUCCCGUCUUUGACACAGAAUCUAAUGCGUUGUGGUAUGCUCUCAAAGAGUCGAGUUGUUUGGGAAUGCAGCUCUAAAUGGGUGGUAAAUUCCAUCUAAAGCUAAAUAUUGGGGAGAGACCGAUAGCGAACAAGUACCGUGAGGGAAAGAUGAAAAGAACUUUGGAAAGAGAGUUAAACAGUACGUGAAAUUGCUGAAAGGGAAACGCUUGAAGUCAGUCGCGUUAUCUGGGGAUCAGCCUUCCUUUUGGUUGGUGUACUUCCCAGUUGACGGGUCAGCAUCAGUUUUGAUCAGUGGAUAAAAGCUUGAGGAAUGUGGCAUCUUCGGGUGUGUUAUAGCCUCUUGUUGUAUACACUGGCUGGGACUGAGGAACUCAGUACGCCGCAAGGCCGGGUCUUUGACCACGUUCGUACUUAGGAUGCUGGCAUAAUGGCUUUAAUCGACCCGUCU